GUCGGGUAAGUUCCGAC
This 17-nucleotide ribosomal RNA is filed under the name Escherichia coli. Its description in RNAcentral is "23S ribosomal RNA from Escherichia coli (PDB 3J0E, chain B)". The record is from RNAcentral. Lineage: Bacteria; Pseudomonadati; Pseudomonadota; Gammaproteobacteria; Enterobacterales; Enterobacteriaceae.